GCCUACGGGAGGCAGCAGGGGGAAUAUUGGACAAUGGGCGAAAGCCUGAUCCAGCCAUGCCGCGUGUGUGAAGAAGGUCUUCGGAUUGUAAAGCACUUUAAGUUGGGAGGAAGGGUUGUAGAUUAAUACUCUGCAAUUUUGACGUUACCGGCAGAAUAAGCACCGGCUAACUCUGUGCCAGCAGCCGCGGUAAU
This 194-nucleotide ribosomal RNA is filed under the name uncultured bacterium. RNAcentral describes it as "partial 16S ribosomal RNA". It matches the Rfam family "Bacterial small subunit ribosomal RNA", at positions 337 to 524 of the family's 1533-position model. The record is from RNAcentral.